RNAcentral lists this ribosomal RNA (984 nucleotides) under Halomicrobium zhouii. Its description in RNAcentral is "bacterial LSU rRNA". It matches the Rfam family "Archaeal large subunit ribosomal RNA", at positions 9 to 1015 of the family's 2987-position model. Lineage: Archaea; Methanobacteriati; Methanobacteriota; Halobacteria; Halobacteriales; Haloarculaceae. The record is from RNAcentral.
GCUACUAUGCCAGCUGGUGGAUGGCUCGGCUCGGAAGCCGAUGAAGGACGUGCCAAGCUGCGAUAAGCCUACGGGAGCCGCAUGGAGGCGAAGAACGUAGGAUAUCCUAAUGGGAAUCCCCACCGCAAUUGCUUCGCGCAAUGGGGAACGCCGGGAAUUGAAACAUCUCAGUACCGGCAGGAAAAGAAAGCGUAAUGCGAUGUCGUUAGUAACCGCGAGUGAAAGCGACGCAGCCCAAACUGAAGCCCUCACGGGCAAUGUGGUGUUCGGGCUACCUCUCAUCGGACGACCGUUUUCGUGAAGUCUCCUGGAAAGGAGCGCGAUACAGGGUGAAAGCCCCGUAACGAAGGCCAGUAGUCCGUGCGGUAGUUCCAGAGUAUCGGGGGUUGGAAAUCCCUCGUGAAUACGGCAGGCAUCGACUGCCAAGGCUAAACACUCUCCGAGACCGAUAGCGAAAAAGUAGCGUGAGCGAACGCUGAAAAGUAUCCUCAGAAGGGAGGUGAAACAGGGCCUGAAAUCAGUUGGCGAUGGAGCGACGGGGCAUACAAGGUCCCGUACAAAACGAACGAGACGCGAGUCUCCAGUAGGAAGUACGGGAAGCCGAUGUUCCGUCGUACGUUUUGAAAAACGAGCCAGGGAGUGUGCCUGUUUGGCGAGUCUAACCCGAUCAUCGGGGGAGGCAUAGGGAAACCGACAUGGCCGCAGCGCUUUGCGCAAGGGCCGCCGUCUUCAAGGGCGGGGAGCCAAACGAGCACGACCCGAAACCGAGUGAUCUACACGUGGACAAGGCGAAGCGUGCCGAAAGGCACGUGGAGGCCUGCUAGAGUUGGUGUCCUACAAUACCCUCUCGUGAUCUUCGUGUAGGGGUGAAAGGCCCAUCGAACUCGGAAACAGCUGGUUCCAACCGAAACAUGUCGAAGCAUGACGUCCGCCGAGGUAGUUCGUGAGGUAGAGCGACCGAUUGGGAUGCUUCACUCCGAGAGG